RNAcentral lists this long non-coding RNA (411 nucleotides) under Populus tremula. RNAcentral's name for it is "long non-coding RNA (PTRE_LNC000727)". Lineage: Eukaryota; Viridiplantae; Streptophyta; Magnoliopsida; Malpighiales; Salicaceae. The record is from RNAcentral.
GAGCAAAGAGUGGAUGUUAAGGGGAAAAAAAAUCAAGAGUGAGAGCAGAUGUUGAAAGAGAAGAGAGAAAAAAAGGUGACGAAAAAAGAAGAAAGAUUCAAAGACGAUGGCUAUGAGAAGAACACAUGAUGUUGAACAUUGACAAUAUUGGAUGUUUGGACCAGGAAGUCAAAAAAGAGAGAUACAGAAAAUUAGACGUCAGAGUUUCAAAGAAAGAACAGACAGGACAAGACAAGAGAUCACUGCAGCUUUUUUGGAGGUAUGAGGAUGAAAGUGUAUCUAGGAAAAUCCAAGGAUCCUACAGAGGAAGCAUGUUCUGCUCUUCUCUGAAAUGGAGCAGAGCAGGCUGCAGAGAAAAGUUGUAUGCUACUGUUUAGUUAAAAGAAAGGAGGGAGCAGGAGUAAAAUAGAG